This 274-nucleotide ribosomal RNA is filed under the name uncultured bacterium. RNAcentral describes it as "partial 16S ribosomal RNA". It matches the Rfam family "Bacterial small subunit ribosomal RNA", at positions 523 to 796 of the family's 1533-position model. The record is from RNAcentral.
AUACGGAGGGUGCAAGCGUUAAUCGGAAUUACUGGGCGUAAAGGGCGCGUAGGCGGUCUAUCAAGUCAGGUGUGAAAUCCCACGGCUCAACCGUGGAGGUGCAUCUGAAACUGAUAGACUUGAGUAUGGGAGAGGAAAGUGGAAUUCCCGGUGUAGAGGUGAAAUUCGUAGAUAUCGGGAGGAACACCAGUGGCGAAGGCGACUUUCUGGACCAAUACUGACGCUGAGGCGCGAAAGCGUGGGGAGCAAACAGUAUUAGAAACCCUAGUAGUCC